Long non-coding RNA from Gasterosteus aculeatus aculeatus (three-spined stickleback), 1277 nucleotides. Lineage: Eukaryota; Metazoa; Chordata; Actinopteri; Perciformes; Gasterosteidae. The record is from Ensembl.
CUCCUCCACCAGCAACACCACCUCUCUCUCUCUCUCUCUCUCUCUCUCUCUUUCCAUCUAACAGUCAUUGCAGCCGUCUGCAGCUCAAGCAGCAUUUUGCAGCUUUAUGGAGCUGUUUCGUGUUUAAUGGAAGCACAUCCAGAGUGUCAUAUCACCUCAGGAGCCCCCCCUCGGUGCAUAUGCAUACUUUUUUCACUAUUCUAAUUUCAUGUCCACGUGAAGGUGGUUGUGUGUGUCAAUCUGCGGAAAAGCUCCAGCACAACAUUCGGUUCUACAUCCUCGCUGCAAACGGGAAGCACGAGAUGCGCCUUUUGGUGUUCGUCUAUUCCCUGUGAACAAAGGAAGCGUUUAACAAGGAGAUACUUCGCCACUGUGUGACUGCAGUUGAGUUGAGUUGCUGGCACUUCAGUCCAUUGUGAGAAAACAACAGGCGCAAUAAUAACAACAGUGCCUUCUCUCUUUUUUAUGAUCUGUGGUUCAGGACACACGCAACUUCCAUAAAUCUCUCGCUUCUUUCUUCUUUUCCUUUCUUUUAUCUUGUUUCCCUCACAGCCACAUCUGUCUUUCCACGCUGGAGGCUUAUACCUGAUCUUUGACCUUAGUUAGCACAGCCCUGGAGACCUGUUUUACACAAACACACACACACAGACACACACACACACACACACACAAUUCCUGCACACACAGAGUGGAAGAUAUUGAUUGGCGAUAGAUAGAUAGAGCAGGGCCUGCCUGAUAAGGAGGCCAUAUUUGAUGUUUGUUCUGGCGGUAGGGAGAGGGACAGCGAGAGAUUAAAUCACAAUGAGCCGCCCGCUCCGUCCUUGGCUUCGUCCCUACUCCGGGAUUCACAGGAGUUUAGGGGUCGAGCUUUAAAGGAUGACGGGUGAGGGACUGUGGACAAGGGCCGCCCGCUCUGCUUAAAUCCACUGUGGUGCGAGCCAUUGAUUAACAGCCUGUAAUGUUAUUCAAGGGUGGGGUUUUCUUUUUUUUUUGGUAUAAUCCGAGGUUUUCUACAUUUCUGCUUCUACAUAGGAAGAAAAAAAAAUCUUUGUUUCCCCUCGCUUGUCCUCGCUGAGCGAUGUGGUGGACUGAUUGACAGGCAUCAAUACACGUCUUUAAGGCGCACAAUGGGCAGGAGGGGGACCAGGUCAUGUUUCCUUCGACACACACACACACACACACACACACACACAAGAGCUCAUUCAUCCACUCUACUCUGCAUACCGGCUGUUUAAAUUAUCAGCAAGUAAUCCUGGUAAAAAUAAAUGGUUACGUUU